GGAUUGUAAAAGUCAGGGGUGUGCCGGUGGAGAUAAAAAUUUUCCUGGUUCACUGGCUUCCUUUUACCUAAAUAGUUCGCUAUCAUCUUGAUGAGGACCCAAAGACUUUGAAGGUGUUUCCCAUUCUACUCCAUGAUGCCAAUGGCUCAACUCUGCAUUAUGACUGGCUUAGCAUUUCACCUGAUGGAAAGAUAUUGGCAGCAACCCAUGGUUUCACAUUCUAUCAUGUGCUGAAACUGGAAAGGUUUUGGAUACAGCUGAAAAAUCACAUUAAGGUUUUGGAUACAGUGUAUAAAGAUUUGUUUCAGAUAUUUUGAUAUGUAACCACAUGCUAAUAUUUGUUAUAUGUUCUGUACUUUAAUUCAUAGAAAUUGUUCAAUUAAGGUUUGAUUUAUUUCACUA
This is a long non-coding RNA of Magnolia sinica, 402 nucleotides long. RefSeq lists it as uncharacterized. Lineage: Eukaryota; Viridiplantae; Streptophyta; Magnoliopsida; Magnoliales; Magnoliaceae. The transcript has 2 exons. The record is from RefSeq and is a predicted model, not a curated record.